Non-coding RNA from Schizosaccharomyces pombe (fission yeast), 1517 nucleotides. NCBI's taxonomy places the organism in Eukaryota, Fungi, Ascomycota, Schizosaccharomycetes, Schizosaccharomycetales, Schizosaccharomycetaceae. The record is from the annotation of a GenBank genome assembly.
UCUCUCUAUAUAUACUAUAUAACCACCAAUUUGCAUGACGAAGUGCCCCGCACGUAACGGAAGUGAUAUUAUGCUGAAACAGUGAAUAAACACAUCUAGAUAACCGUAGAACCGUUUUUCAUACCCUUCAACUAAUUACGAAAUGUUGCCGAUAUGAACAAUUAAAUUAAAUAUCAGCUUGCCUUGCCGAAGAUGACCUCAAUCCAUUUUCCUAGUCAAAGAAAAAUUUCGCUGACCUUUUGUAGAUCAUAUGCUAGAAAAGUAGUAAAAUCGCAGCGUAAACUUGAGUCACCUUUAUGUAGCAAAAGAUUGCCUUAAAAGGGCAAACUCUACCAAUGCCCAAAGAAGCAAUGGGACAGGACGAUGGCUAUUUAUUGAAAUUGUUAAAUCGUUACGAACUGCCAUAAGAACCUUAAUUAAAAGAAGGUUGUCGAAAAGUGCUCCGGUCUGCACAUGUGGAACCAGUCAUCUUAGUUAGUGCAGCCCCGGUAUUCCACGGUGAAAAGCAAGUUUGCAGUGUAGAAGACAAAUGGACCAUUUGUUCAUCAGUAUAUACAGUUAGUUAAAAGGAUACGAAAGGCUGGAUCAUUUAGUGAACGAAGUCGCAAGUGAAAUACUUGUUCAUUAUUAUGUUCUGGUAAAAAAACCAACUUUUAUUACUACAGCAGGAAAACAAACAAAAGUAACAUAUUGUUGGCAGAAAACACACAACCGAAAAAAACCUGUCUACUAGGAAAUGGAUCAUUUUGAUACUUCUGAUCCGUUAGAUACAUUGCAGAACAAAAGAUCGACCGAAAGGUUAUCAAUGACAAAAUCUCUCUGGACCCUUUUGUUCUCAUCUCUAUUCUGUCCAAACCAUCAUCAUCUAGUUCAAUUCUUCUUGGACUCUGGUUUGGAUGGAAUAGUCAAACAUUUAAUGCCGUACUCUUCCGUAAUCAUGGCAAUGACAUGUGCAACAAAGUUGCCGUAAACACCAAUGCAAAUUCCAACGUAGCAAAAAAAGUAUUCCGUCUGAACGUUUUUUAAUACGCCAAAAGUAUAGGCGUCCACGGCAUCCACCAAGAAUGGAAGAAUAAGCACAUUCCAGUAUGGGAAGGGAGAUUCGGUAAUGUGAGAAACAAUUACCACUCCAACCGAAUAAGCAAAGAUAAAAGCGUUCAAGCAAAAAAUAGUGAGGAAAUGAUGUUCAAAGAAAGCAGGAUACUUGGCAUAGAGUGAAAAGACAGCCAUCCAUUGGAGGAAAUAGGGAAGGAUACCACUCAAUGCUUUAAUCACACUUCCGUUGUUCUUUUGGACGGCUUGAAGAGCAUUUCGUAAACUUUGUAAGACAUUCAAUAGCAGGGCAAAUGCCAUAAAGUUGUACAAGCAUGAUCCAUAUGUGUAGUAUGGCAGAAAGGAACGUACAAAUCCCCAUGACUCGGGAGUGGGAUGUAGCUUGAGCCAGAAAGAAUCACCCUUAAUAGCUGUAAGGGCAAAUAGUCCAAUAACCAUUACAAUUCCUUCGACAGGACCCGAGA